UCAAAUCAAUGGCGGAAUUUCACAACAGAAAUAAAGACGCAAGAAAGCAACUGGGAACGAUCAAGGUCACCAAACCGACCGUCAUUUCCGAACUAACAAGUGAUUCUUUGUCUGAAAGGUUGAAACAGGUCUAAUCCAAGACAACCGUGCAAGAAGCAGGUGUCGCCCAAAGAAGAAGGUACAUGGGUACAGGAAGUACUUCGACAAUGAUGAAUUCACUCGAAAGUUAAGUUUCCACGAAACUCCCUUUUAUCUUCUAUUAAAACAAGAAAACUCAAAAAAAAAUAGAUCGUUUAGUAUUCUCGAACUUUGUCCCCAGCCAGCCAGCAUUAGGGUUUUAAACCCUAAACUGAGCUUUUCCAUGCAAUCAGCAUUAGGGUUUUAAACCCUAAACUGAUUUUUUUCAUUUUAGUCAGCAUUAGGGUUUUAAACCCUAAACUGAACUUUUUCCAUUUAGCCAGCAUUAGGGUAUUAAACCUUAAACUGAGCUUUUCCUUCCAGUCAGCAUUAGGGUUUUAAACCCUAAACUGAAUUUUCCUUUUAGUCAGCAUUAGGGUUUUAAACCCUAAACUGGACUUUUUCUAUUCAGCCAGCAUUAGGGUUUUAAACCCUAAACUGAGCUUUUUCAUGCAGUCAGCAUUAGGGUUUUAAACCAUAAACUGAAUUUUCCUUUUAGUCAGCAUUAGGGUUUUAAACCCUAAACUGAACUUUUCCAUUCAGCCAGCAUU
Molecule: long non-coding RNA, 728 nt
Filed under: Nicotiana tabacum (common tobacco)
Lineage: Eukaryota; Viridiplantae; Streptophyta; Magnoliopsida; Solanales; Solanaceae
Description: long non-coding RNA (NTAB_LNC005285)
Source: RNAcentral